CGUAGGUGGCAAGCGUUAUCCGGAAUUAUUGGGCGUAAAGCGCGCGUAGGCGGUUUUAAGUCUGAUGUGAAAGCCCACGGCUCAACCGUGGAGGGUCAUUGGAAACUGGAAACUUGAGUGCAGAAGAGGAAAGUGGAAUUCCAUGUGUAGCGGUGAAAUGCGCAGAGAUAUGGAGGAACACCAGUGGCGAAGGCGACUUUCUGGUCUGUAACUGACGCUGAUGUGCGAAAGCGUGGGAUCAAACAGGAUU
RNAcentral lists this ribosomal RNA (250 nucleotides) under uncultured bacterium. RNAcentral's name for it is "partial 16S ribosomal RNA". It matches the Rfam family "Bacterial small subunit ribosomal RNA", at positions 526 to 779 of the family's 1533-position model. The record is from RNAcentral.